Molecule: non-coding RNA, 64 nt
Organism: Caenorhabditis elegans
Lineage: Eukaryota; Metazoa; Nematoda; Chromadorea; Rhabditida; Rhabditidae
Source: Ensembl
CUGGGUCUUCUGGUACUCGUAUGGGUGCGUGGGUUCGAAUCCCACUUCGUGCAGAAAUUUUUGG